Molecule: ribosomal RNA, 485 nt
Filed under: uncultured bacterium
Lineage: Bacteria
Description: bacterial SSU rRNA
Rfam family: Bacterial small subunit ribosomal RNA
Source: RNAcentral
GAUGAACGCUAGCGACAGGCCUAACACAUGCAAGUCGAGGGGCAGCACAAGGAGCAAUCUGAGGUGGCGAACCGGCGCACGGGUGAGUAACACGUAUGCAACCUACCUGUAAGAGGGGAAUAACCCGUUGAAAAACGGACUAAUACCGCAUAACACUGUAGAACCGCAUGGUUUGACAGUUAAACAUUUAUGGCUUACAGAUGGGCAUGCGCAUGAUUAGCUAGUUGGUGAGGUAACGGCUCACCAAGGCAACGAUCAUUAGGGGUUCUGAGAGGAAGGUCCCCCACACUGGUACUGAGACACGGACCAGACUCCUACGGGAGGCAGCAGUGAGGAAUAUUGGUCAAUGGGCGAGAGCCUGAACCAGCCAAGUCGCGUGAAGGAUGAAGGUUUUAUGAAUUGUAAACUUCUUUUGCAGGGGAAUAAAGUGUCCGACGUGUCGGAUUUUGUAUGUACUCUGCGAAUAAGGAUCGGCUAACUCCGUG